GAUGAACGCUGGCGGCGUGCUUAACACAUGCAAGUCGAACGAAGCACUUUAUUUGAUUUCCUUCGGGACUGAUUAUUUUGUGACUGAGUGGCGGACGGGUGAGUAACGCGUGGGUAACCUGCCUUGUACAGGGGGAUAACAGUUGGAAACGGCUGCUAAUACCGCAUAAGCGCACAGCAUCGCAUGAUGCAGUGUGAAAAACUCCGGUGGUAUAAGAUGGACCCGCGUUGGAUUAGUUAGUUGGUGAGGUAACGGCCCACCAAGGCGACGAUCCAUAGCCGACCUGAGAGGGUGACCGGCCACAUUGGGACUGAGACACGGCCCAAACUCCUACGGGAGGCAGCAGUGGGGAAUAUUGCACAAUGGGCGAAAGCCUGAUGCAGCGACGCCGCGUGAGCGAAGAAGUAUUUCGGUAUGUAAAGCUCUAUCAGCAGGGAAGAUAAUGACGGUACCUGACUAAGAAGCACCGGCUAAAUACGUG
Molecule: ribosomal RNA, 481 nt
Filed under: uncultured bacterium
Lineage: Bacteria
Description: partial 16S ribosomal RNA
Rfam family: Bacterial small subunit ribosomal RNA
Source: RNAcentral